GUCUGAUGAAGUAGUUAUGACAGUUUUAGAAGUAACUUAAGUUUCAGUAUCCCUUUCCAGCUGAGGUCUUGUGCGGAAAAACCAGCUGUUUCUAAAGUAUGAUUUUAAAAGAUUUUGUUUCCAAAGAGAACGUGGUUCCUAGUAAUGAGAAAAAUACAGAUAAUCCUCAAAUUCAUAACUUCUUGAGCCCAUCAGGGAACUGAAUUCCAGAGGGUGACAAAGCCCCUUUGAGGAAAGAUGGAUAAUCUGUUUCACCUUUGGCAGAACACAGGAGAGAGAGGUGAUCACCAUACAAACAGAUACAAGGCAGAGCUUGGCUGCCAAGAGAAGAAGAGGCAAGGACACUGGAAAAGCUUCACCCCUGAGACCCAGGAAUCCAGAACCUGCCUGAGGCUGUGAAGACAACAAAGAACCUGCCCUACUCCCAACAUAAGUUUACUGCUAAGGAAUGAAUAACAGGAGUUUGCUGGUGGGGAGAAGCAAGAAUAUUAAAAUAGACCUCAUCUGUGGCA
Pan troglodytes (chimpanzee) is the source of this 512-nucleotide long non-coding RNA. RefSeq lists it as uncharacterized. The record is from RefSeq and is a predicted model, not a curated record. The transcript has 2 exons. Lineage: Eukaryota; Metazoa; Chordata; Mammalia; Primates; Hominidae.